CCCUCAGUAUUACACUUUCAGUUUCAGGUUUCCACAAGCCCCUCCUCUAGUUGUAAAAGCAGAACUCUUGUAUUGACUGGUUAAACCAGAUUUCAGGGUCUGUUGACUGUAAAAUAGAUCAUGAGAUUGUUGAGGAAUAUAUUUCUUUUUGCACUAUUUAUUCUUGAGUGCAGAUCUGAGGACAGAGUGGAUCAGCCAGACAAACAUGUGACUAAACUUAAAGGAGAAUCAGUCACAUUAAAGUGUAGAUACGAAACAACUUCAACACAAACAUACCUCUUCUGGUACAUCCAGAGAGCAAAUGACUUUCCUAAAUACAUCUUGAGAAGAGACACAUUUGGAACUGGGGAUAAUGGCACUGAGUUCCAGGAACGAUUUCACUCUGACGUGACAAAAUCAUCACAAUCAGUUCCACUUACAAUCCAGAAUCUGCAUGUGUCUGACUCUGCUGUGUACUACUGCGCUCUGAGGCCCACAGUAGGAAAGGAUGUUCAAACCACAUACAAAAACAUAGGGGCAUAAACAUGUGCCUCUUCCAUUCAGAUUAUGAAGUUUUGAAUUAUCCUUUUUUUUAAUUUAAAAACUACAAUAAAAUUGAAUGGCACUUCAUUAAUUUAAAGGAAUACU
Non-coding RNA from Myxocyprinus asiaticus (Chinese sucker), 627 nucleotides. The record is from the annotation of a RefSeq genome assembly. Lineage: Eukaryota; Metazoa; Chordata; Actinopteri; Cypriniformes; Catostomidae.